Long non-coding RNA from Oncorhynchus keta (chum salmon), 3480 nucleotides. RefSeq lists it as uncharacterized. The record is from RefSeq and is a predicted model, not a curated record. The transcript has 2 exons. NCBI's taxonomy places the organism in Eukaryota, Metazoa, Chordata, Actinopteri, Salmoniformes, Salmonidae.
UAAUCAUUAACUGCUAAGGACCACAACAUUGUUCAUUUAGAAUUGACACAAACACAACGAAUGUUAAAACUAUAUUGUAAAUGCAACAACCGACAUGGGACAUUGUUGGAUAAUAACUCACAGCAAAUGAUAGAGCAAUAUUACACAAGGACCUGAGUCCUAGGACCAUGCCUCAGGACUACCUGGCAUGAUGACUCCUUGCUGUCCCCAGUCCACCUGGCCGUGCUGCUGCUCCAGUUUCAACUGUUCUGCCUGCGGCUAUGGAAUCCUGACCUGUUCACUGAACGUGCUACCUGUCCCAGACCUGCUGUUUUCAACUCUCUAGAGAGACACUCGCUGACAUUUACUCCUGAGGUGCUGACUUGCUGCACCCUCGACAACUACUGUGAUUAUUAUUAUUUGACCAUCCUGGUCAUUUAUGAACAUUUUAACAUCUUGGCCAUGUCUGUUAUAAUCUCCACCCGGCACAGCCAGAAGAGGACUGGCGACCCCUCAUAGCCUGGUUCCUCUCUAGGUUUCUUCCUAGGUUUUGGCCUUUCUAGGGAGUUUUUCCUAGCCACGUGCUUCUACACCUGCAUUGCUUGCUGUUUGGAGUUUUAGGCUGGGUUUCAGUACAGCACUUUAUCAGUUAUCAGCUGAUGUACGAAGGGCUAUAUAAAUACAUUUGAUUUGAUUUAGUGAAGACAUCUAAACUAUGAAAUAAUACAUAUGGAAACAUGUGGUAACCAAAAAAGUGUAUAUUUGAGAUUCUUCAAAGUAACCACCCUUUGCCUGGAUGAUAGCUUUGCACACUCGUGGCAUUCUCAACCAGCUUCAUGAGGUAGUCACCUGGAAUGCAUUUCAAUUAACAGGUGUGCCGUAUAUUAAAAGUUAAUUUGUGGAAUUUCUUUCCUGAAUGCAUUUGAGCCAAUCAGUUGUGUUGUUACAAAGUAGGGGUAGUAUACAGAAGAUAGCCCUAUUUGGUAAAAGACCAAGGAUCGGAGUAAAAUCCAGACCUUGCCUCGUAACAAGUUAUGUCCAGAGAACUUGCCCUAAAAGGUGGAAAUGCCCAUUUCUGACCAAAGAGUAUAAAACAUGUGAGUUAAGAAUUAUGACUAGGUGACCACGAGCUGCAGCCAAGGUCCAAUUAGUUGUAACCCCAAAACGCAACACCAGGUUGAAGACAAAGGAACCUUUUAACAAUCUAUGCUACGGAUGAGUAGCUGUGUCUAAGAAGGUGAAUUCAAGCAGGACCACCCGGUUAUUCUCUCCAAGGAAUCGUGUGUCUACACUGCUUUCAUUCCCACGCUGGAACCACCUAUAUGGCUGAUUAGCCAUCCUCAGAAAACCCCUCUUUCAGAACAAGGGCGAGGAAACGGAUCACUAAGACAAAGGACACUGACAUCUUGAGGACAGCGUUACACCCGGUAACCAAAGAAGUGCCGUCAGAGGAGAAGGCAAACCUGGUCCACAAAGAGACACCCCAUCGGAGACAGACACGUAAUUACAUCAUUAUAUUCUGACCCAUAAGAGCAGCAGUUUGGGGCAAGGUUAGGUUUAAAAUAAGCAAAGUUUACAAAAUGUACCCAAGUUUGCUUUUCUUUCUCUUUUGAAAUCCCCAUUUUGUGUAACUCAUAUUGCGUUGGCCCACUAGGGACCCGUUUCAUUGUACUAAGUUCUAAUCAAUAGUCUAGACUGUAUGUGUAUCAUUUUAGCUUCUAGUAAAUUAAUAAUCAUCUCAGUUGGUGUGGUACAAAGUUAUUUAGUGGGACUCGGGUUAGUGCAGAUUGACAGAUUAUGUGACGAUCAGAAUGCGACAGAGGAAAUUAAUUAGCAACUGUUGUAAAAUCGAUAUUCUGAUAGAUAAUUAGUUAAUUUGGGAAAUAGAAACUCAAAGCCAAACUAUCCCAUGAUGCCCCAGAUUACUGAGUUAAUAAUUACCCGAUUUAAUUUAAUCACGUAAUUAUAAACAGUUAAUCAUUUCAUGAAAAGCAGUCGUCACAUCAAUCAAUACAACAUCACAACAGUGGUUCCCACCAUGAAGAAUGGAGGUGGUGUGAUGGAGCUUUGCUGGUGACACUGUCUGAUUUAUUUAGAAUUCAAGGCACACUUAUCCAGCAUGGCUACCACAGCAUUCUGCAGCGAUACACCAUCCCAUCUGGUUUGCGCUGAGUGAGACUAUCUUUCGUUUUCAACAGGACAAUGACCCAACAACUCCAGGCUGUGUAAGGGCUAUUUGACCAAGAAGGAGAGUGAUGGAGUGCUGGAUCAGAUGACCUGGCCUCUACAAUCACCCAAUGAUUUUCAGAUGAUUUGGGAUUAGAUGGACCACAGAGAGUGAAGGAAAAGUAGCCAACAAAUGCUCAGCAUAUGUGGGAACUCCUUCAAGACUGUUGGAAAAGCAUUCCUGGUGAAGCUGGUUGAGAGAAUGCCAAGAGUGUGCAAAGCUGUCAUCAAGGCAGCUUUGGCUACUUUGAAGCAUCUCAAAUAUAUUUAGAUUUGUUUAACACUUUUUGGUUACUACAUGAUUCCAUGUGUGUUAUUUUAUCAUUUUGAUGUCUUCACUAUUAUUCAACAACGUGGAAAAAAGUACAAAUAAAUUAAAACCCUUGAAUGAGUAGGUGUGUCAAAACUUUCGACUGGUAGUGUAUAUACAAAUUCUCUAAAUGAGAAAUGCUUAUUAACUUUUUAUGGCUGCAGGGGCAGUAUUGAGUAGCUUGGAUGAAAAUGUGCCCAUUGUAAACGGCCAGCUCCUCAGUCGCUAAUAUAUGCAUAUUAUUAUUAGUAUUGGAUAGAAAACACUAAAGUUUACAAAACUGUCAAAAUAUUGUCUGUGAGUAUAACAGAACUGAUAUUGCAGGCGAAACCCUAAGGAAAAUCAAAACAGGAAGUGGCUUCUAUUUUGAAAACUCCAUGUUCCAUAGCCUCCCUUUGCUGGAUUUAAAGGGAUAUGAAACAGAUUCCUUUUCCUAUUGCUUCCUCAAAGUGUCAACAGUCUUCAGACAUAGUUUCAGGCUUUUAUUUUGAAAAAUUAGCCAGAACGAUAACAUCGCGUCAACUGGUCACAUGAGUUUUGCUCGCGCAACAGAGUUUGGAUAGGUAUUGCUUUUCCCUCUCCUACUGUGAAACAAAUUUGCAGUUGAUAUAUUAUCAAUGAGAUAUUUUAAAAACAACCUGAGGAUUGAUUAUCAACGUUUGACAUGUUUCUGUGGACAUUAUGGAAACUAUUUGGAAUUUGUCUGCGUUGUCGUGACCGCUCUUUCCUGUGGAUUUCUGAACAUAUCGCACCAAACAAACAGAGGUAUUUUCGAUAUAAAAAUAAUCUUUAUGGAACAAAAGGAACAUUGUUGUGUAACUGGGAGUCUCGUGAGUGAAAACAUCCGAAGAUCAAAGGUAAACGAUUCAUUUGAUUGCUUUUCUUAUAUUUGUGACCAAGCAACCUGAUGCUAAGUGUACGUAAUGUUUUGUAGUGCGAUCAAUAAACUUACACAAAUGCUUGGA